AUGAGCGGAGUGCGUAAUAAAGCAGAUGAUAUCACUGAAGCUAUAUCAACGGGAACAUGCUAUAUUGUGCUGGAAAGGUUCCCUCCAGACUAUGUACAGACGGUAGCGCGGUAUCUUGAAUCAUCUGUGCCACAAAACAAUUGUGAUGCCACGCGUGACGACCCAAAAGAAACAGAAAGCAGUGAUUCGGGAGACAGCGUGUUCAUCACCCAGAAGCCGGUCCCGGAGCCUGUGAGAAGCAGCAGACGGCAUCGCAAAACUCCAACAUCUCCAAAAGAUCUAGAAGAAAGUGAAGAUUCGUCUUCCUCCCAAAAUGCCACAACGUCUAACAAGAAAAGGAAAAAAAAGAAUGUUAGGCUGCCAAAGUACACCUUUCCUUUUGUUAAAGAGAAGCAGUGGAUGGGAAGGAGAUCAGUUUUGACUGGCCAGCAGAAUAAAAAGCUUCACAAUGCCAUGAUGGGAGGCUUCUUUAAAUGUGUGAGGGAGCUGUGGCACGGCUAUAAAGGUGUAUAUAUGGACAUGUCUCUACCCACAGUUGACAUGGAUGGGGAUAUUCUAUCUCCACUGUCAGAAGAAGAAGAAGAGAGGUCAGAAAAGGAGGACAUCAAAGUGGUGGAAAAGCGUUUUCUAGCUGCAUCAAAAGCAAUGUGCACCCAAGCAUGGUACACUCCAGGAAAGAUGGAAGGCCACAUAAAGCAACAGAGCAGGAGGAGGAGAGCCAGUAGCACCAGCCAAGACGUGUCCCAAGACCAAACGAUGACAAUUCAACAGUCAACCAGCAGAUCCAUAACAACGGCUACUCCGUUGUUGAGUGAUAAAGAUGGACAUCCUUGUAGAGAUUUGCCUCAGCAGGAGAAUGGAGAUCCUGAACAUGAGAUACAUCAAAAAAGCAUUCCUGGACAAACCGAACUGUCAAAGACAAAGAGACGUCUUACUGGAGGGAAGAAAAUGAUUCUCUUUCAGAAAAAUGAACGAGAGGAAGAGUUGUACAGCGACAGUGAUGCUACUGUGUGUGAUGCUCUACAGCUUCAUGGAAGUCCAAGCAAGCACACACAAGGAGGCAAAGAGGCAGUCAACACUGCAACACAGGCUCAAGUCGAUGUUUUCCAAAUGGAUGAACUAAGCCAGGGCAGACAAGAAGAGGAGGAACCUGAAAGUCAAAGUGUCCUCCACGGUCUUCCACAGUUUGUGGGUGACACCAAUAAUGUUAUUGUAUGUGCUGAAAGCACCUUGAAGAAGAAGAAAAACACUGUAACACAGGCUCAAGUGGACGUUUUCCAGAUGGAUGAACUAAGCCAGACCAGACAAGAAGAGGAGGAACCUGAAAGUCAAAGUGUCCUCCACGGUCUUCCACAGUUUGUGGGUGACACCAACAGUGUUAUUGUAUGUGCUGAAUCUACCCCGAAAAAGAAGAAAAAAAACACUGUAACACAGGCUCAAGCUGAUGUUUUCCAAAUUGAUGAACUAAGCCAGACCAGACAAGAAGAGGAGGAACCUGAAAGUCAAAGUGUCCUCCAGGGUCUUCCACAGUUUGUGGGUGACACUAAUAAUGUUAUUUCAUGUGCUGAAAGCACCUUGAAGAAGAAGAAAAACACUGUAACACAGGCUCAAGUGGACGUUUUCCAGAUGGAUGAACUAAGCCAGACCAGACAAGAAGAGGAGGAACCUGAAAGUCAAAGUGUCCUCCACGGUCAUCCACAGUUUGUGGGUGACCCCAACAGUGUUAUUGUAUGUGCUGAAUCUACCCCGAAAAAGAAGAAAAAAAACACUGUAACACAGGCUCAAGCUGAUGUUUUCCAAAUUGAUGAACUAAGCCAGACCAGACAAGAAGAGGAGGAACCUGAAAGUCAAAGUGUCCUCCAGGGUCUUCCACAGUUUGUGGGUGACACUAAUAAUGUUAAUGUAUUUGUUGAAUCCACCCUGAAGAAGAAGAAGAAGAAGAAGAAAAAGAAGAAAAACACUGUAACACAGGCUCAAGCCCAUGUUUUCCAAAUUGAUGAACUAAGCCAGACCAGACAAGAAGAGGAGGAACCUGAAAGUCAAAGUGUCCUCCAGGGUCUUCCACAGUUUGUGGGUGACACUAAUAAUGUUAUUGUAUGUGCUGAAAGCACCUUGAAGAAGAAGAAAAACACUGUAACACAGGCUCAAGUGGACGUUUUCCAGAUGGAUGAACUAAGCCAGACCAGACAAGAAGAGGAGGAACCUGAAAGUCAAAGUGUCCUCCACGGUCUUCCACAGUUUGUGGGUGACACCAACAGUGUUAUUGUAUGUUCUGAAUCUACCCCGAAGAAGAAGAAAAAGAAGAAAAAAAACACUGUAACACAGGCUCAAGCCCAUGUUUUUCAAAUUGAUGAACUAAGCCAGACCAGACAAGAAGAGGAGGAACCUGAAAGUCAAAGUGUCCUCCAGGGUCUUCCACAGUUUGUGGGUGACACUAAUAAUGUUAAUGUAUUUGUUGAAUCCACCCUGAAGAAGAAGAAGAAGAAAAAGAAGAAAAACACUGUAACACAGGCUCAAGCCGAUGUUUUCCAAAUGGAUGAACUAAGCCAGACCAGACAAAAAGAGGAGGAACCUGAAAGUCGAAGUCUCCUCCAGAGUCUUCCACAGUUUGUGAGUGACGCCAAUAAUGUUAUUGUAUGUGCUGAAUCCACACCAAAGAAGAAGAAAAAGAAGAAAAACAAAAACAUCAAAGCCAAAGGAGAUCGUGAUAGUGUAGAAGAAGCAGCAGGUCAGAAUCAGGAAGAGCCAGAAGGUCUGCACGCUGCAGAAUCUGUAAAUGUGGAGGCAGAAGAGACUUUUAGUCGGUCAGACAACAAUGAUAACAUGUCGAUGCAGGAGAAGAGACUUGAUUCAACUCAACAGAAAAGAAAGAGAAAAAGGGGUAAGUUAUUUGCUGAAAAUAUUAGACAAGAGGUGGGAGAACACUUGGAGCCUGGUGUGAGUUUAGAGGAAUCUGAGGCUUCUGUGAUGUGUAACAUUGAGAAUGCCAAGAAGAUAAAAAAGAAGAAAGGUGUUGAUGAUGCUGAGGGUGUUGAACAGUUGGAGUCCACUGAAGCUGCCACAACUAAAAAUGAUGGACAAAAGAAAAUGAAAAAACUGAAACACAAAAGUAUAAAACGGUCAUCCUCACUUGAAGAUAAUCAAUGUGAAAAUGAUGCAAAAGUGAGAUUGUCUAAUGAGGGAGCAACCUUGGAAGAACAUGUAGUGAAAAAAAGGAAGAAAGAAAGCAUCUCUCAGGGAGUUUCUAUUUCUUACACUCCUGACAAAAGCGAUAAGGUUGAAUGUAUAGAUUCUAAUGAGCAAGAUGAACAAUUAUGUAAGAAGAAAAAGAAAAAGAGGAGGCGAGAGAAAUUUGGUGAAUUAUCUAACGAACAGGCCUCAAAAGAUACUGUAGCACAGAGCCAUGAGGCAGUAUCUGUGAGGAAAAAGGAAAAGAGGACGACCUCUUCCUUCCUUCAAGCUGAUUCAGGGGAAAAAGAUGUUGAGUUGCAUCAGCAGCAAAACAACUCAAAAACAGUAGCACCUGGUGUCUGUGACUUUGAGGCCGAAUCAGCGGAAAUUGUUGGAAAUUCUGGUGAUGGAGUCAGCAAAAAGAAGAAAAGAAAGAGGAAGACAAUGGAGACUCAGGACAAUGUGGAAGACGAUCAGGGGACUGAGUUUGAGGAACCAAACAAAAUGUGCAGGAGUGUUUUAACUGAAACAGGGAUAAAGAAAAGGAAGAAAAGUAAAAGUAAAUCUGUGUCAAUGGACAGACUGGACAGUGCAGUUGAUGUAGGGCGAUUUCAAGCUGAGGAAGACAUGAUGCAGAAAAAGAAAAAGAACAAGAAAAUAUUUAACGAACUGAAAAUGUAA
Molecule: long non-coding RNA, 3852 nt
Organism: Betta splendens (Siamese fighting fish)
Lineage: Eukaryota; Metazoa; Chordata; Actinopteri; Anabantiformes; Osphronemidae
Product: titin-like
Source: Ensembl